CAGCAGCCGCGGUAAUCCGUAGGUGGCAAGCGUUGUCCGGAAUUAUUGGGCGUAAAGGGCUCGCAGGCGGUUUCUUAAGUCUGAUGUGAAAGCCCCCGGCUCAACCGGGGAGGGUCAUUGGAAACUGGGAAACUUGAGUGCAGAGGAGGAGAGUGGAAUUCCACGUGUAGCGGUGAAAUGCGUAGAGAUGUGGAGGAACACCAGUGGCGAAGGCGACUCUCUGGUCUGUAACUGACGCUGAGGAGCGAAAGCGUGGGGAGCGAAUAGGAUUAGAUACCCCAGUAGUCCCUGUCUCUUAUAC
Molecule: ribosomal RNA, 301 nt
Filed under: uncultured bacterium
Lineage: Bacteria
Description: partial 16S ribosomal RNA
Rfam family: Bacterial small subunit ribosomal RNA
Source: RNAcentral